GACGAACGCUGGCGGCGUGCCUAACACAUGCCAGUCGAGCGAGGACAGCUGUUCUGGCGGCGGACGGGGGGGUGGCGCGGGGGAACGCGCCCUUUGCUUCUGAAUCGCCCUGGGGAAUAGGGAUUCGUAAGGGAGGAGCCUACUGCGUGAGAGUGUUGUCGGCGAAGGAUCGGCCCGCGUUGGAUUAGGUAGUUGGUGGGGUAAUGGCCGACCAAGGCGACGAUUCAUAGCGGGUCUGAGAGGAUGAUCAGCCACACUGGGACUGAGACACGGCCCAGACUCCUACGGGAGGCAGCAGUGGGGAAUAUUAGACAAUGGGGGAAACCCUGAUCUAGCCAUGCCGCGUGAGCGAUGACGGCCUUCGGGUUGUAAAGCUCUGUCAGCUGGGAAGAUAAUGACGGUACCAGCAGAAGAAGCCCCGGCUAACUACGUG
This 433-nucleotide ribosomal RNA is filed under the name uncultured bacterium. RNAcentral's name for it is "partial 16S ribosomal RNA". It matches the Rfam family "Bacterial small subunit ribosomal RNA", at positions 28 to 507 of the family's 1533-position model. The record is from RNAcentral.